Molecule: ribosomal RNA, 586 nt
Filed under: Fonsecaea nubica
Lineage: Eukaryota; Fungi; Ascomycota; Eurotiomycetes; Chaetothyriales; Herpotrichiellaceae
Description: partial large subunit ribosomal RNA
Rfam family: Eukaryotic large subunit ribosomal RNA
Source: RNAcentral
ACGGGCAUUGCCCUCAGUAACGGCGAGUGAAGCGGCAACAGCUCAAAUUUGAAAUCUGGCCUCUUGGGGUCCGAGUUGUAAUUUGUAGAGGAUGUUUCGGGUACCGCCUCGGUUUAAAUUUCUUGGAACAGAAUGUCAAAGAGGGUGAGAAUCCCGUCUUGGACCGGCGGUAGGGCCUAUGUGAAACUCCUUCGACGAGUCGAGUUGUUUGGGAAUGCAGCUCAAAAUGGGUGGUAAAUUUCAUCUAAAGCUAAAUAUUGGCCAGAGACCGAUAGCGCACAAGUAGAGUGAUCGAAAGAUGAAAAGCACUUUGAAAAGAGAGUUAAACAGUAUGUGAAAUUGUUGAAAGGGAAGCGCUUGCAACCAGACUUGAGCGCGGCGGUUCCCCCUUGCUUCUGCUUGGGUUACUCCGCCGUGUCCAGGCCAACAUCGGUUCUGGGGGUCGGUCAAAGGCUCUGGGAAUGUAUCUACCCACGGGUAGACUUAUAGACCAGGGUGUCAUGCGACCUCCCGGGACCGAGGAACGCGCUUCGGCUCGGAUGUUGGCGUAAUGGUUGUCAGCGACCCGUCUUGAACCAACCGGACC